This 253-nucleotide ribosomal RNA is filed under the name uncultured bacterium. RNAcentral's name for it is "partial 16S ribosomal RNA". It matches the Rfam family "Bacterial small subunit ribosomal RNA", at positions 524 to 776 of the family's 1533-position model. The record is from RNAcentral.
UACGGAGGGUGCAAGCGUUAUCCGGAUUUACUGGGUUUAAAGGGUGUGUAGGCGGACUUUUAAGUCAGCGGUGAAAUCUCCGGGCUCAACCCGGAAACUGCCAUUGAUACUAUUGGUCUUGAAUGUUGUUGAGGUGGGCGGAACGGGUCAUGUAGCGGUGAAAUGCAUAGAUAUGACCCGGAACACCGAUUGCGAAGGCAGCCCACUAAGCAACGAUUGACACUGAGGCACGAAAGCGUGGGGAUCAAACAGG